CUACGGGUCGCAGCAGUGGGGAAUAUUGGACAAUGGGCGCAAGCCUGAUCCAGCAAUGCCGCGUGGGUGAAGAAGGCCUUCGGGUUGUAAAGCCCUUUUGUACGGGAAGAAAAGCGCCGGGCGAAUACCCUGGUGUCAUGACGGUACCGUAAGAAUAAGCACCGGCUAACUUCGUGCCAGCAGCCGCGGUAAUACGAAGGGUGCAAGCGUUAAUCGGAAUUACUGGGCGUAAAGCGUGCGUAGGCGGUUUGUUAAGUCCGAUGUGAAAGCCCUGGGCUCAACCUGGGAAUGGCAUUGGAUACUGGCGAGCUAGAGUCAGGUAGAGGGUGGUGGAAUUCCCGGUGUAGCGGUGAAAUGCGUAGAGAUCGGGAGGAACAUCCGUGGCGAAGGCGGCCACCUGGACCAUGACUGACGCUGAGGCACGAAAGCGUGGGGAGCAAACAGGAUUAGAUACCCUCGUAGUC
RNAcentral lists this ribosomal RNA (464 nucleotides) under uncultured bacterium. RNAcentral's name for it is "partial 16S ribosomal RNA". It matches the Rfam family "Bacterial small subunit ribosomal RNA", at positions 339 to 795 of the family's 1533-position model. The record is from RNAcentral.